RNAcentral lists this ribosomal RNA (1365 nucleotides) under Melanagromyza sojae. Its description in RNAcentral is "large subunit ribosomal RNA". The record is from RNAcentral. Lineage: Eukaryota; Metazoa; Arthropoda; Insecta; Diptera; Agromyzidae.
GAUUAAUUUUUAUUUAUUAAUGUUAUUUAUUUUAAUUAUAUAAUAUUAAAAAUAAUUAUAUUAUGUAUUUUGUUUAAGUAUUUUUUAAAAAAUAAAUAAUUUAAAUUAUAGUGAAUUAGUAUUGUGAAAGAAAAUUGAAAUAGUUUGAAAAAUUUUUAUUUUAAUAGAAAAUUUUAUUUAUUGUACCUUUUGUAUCAGGGUUUAUUAAAUUAAUAAUAUGUAUAUAUGUUUCUCGAUUUAAAAAGAGUUAAUUAAUUAUAAAAAUUAAUGUUAUAAAAUUAUUUUUAAUAAUUAAUUAGAAAUGAAAUGUUAUUCGUUUUUUAUGGUAUCUAGUUUUUUAAGAAAUGAAUUUAAUUCAGAAAUUUUAAAAUAUAUUUUUAAUUAUAUUAAUGAUAUAGUUUUUAAUUUAAAUAUUUUAUGGGAUUAGCUAUAAAAUUAUGUUUAUAAAUAAUUAUAAUAUUAUAAUAAAUGUAAGCUUAGAAUUAGUUAUCAUUAAUAAUUGUGUUAUAAUUUAUUUAAUUUUUAAUAUUAUUUAAUUUAUUUUAAUUUAUUUAUUAAAAAUUUUAUUUUAAUUUUAAAAAUAAAAUUAAAAUGAUAAAAUUAGUAUAUAAUAUUGUUUAAAUAAAUUUUUAAGGAAAGUUUUAAUAAAGAAUUCGGCAAAAUUUAUGUUCGCCUGUUUAACAAAAACAUGUCUUUUUGUAAAUGUAUAAAAAGUCUAACCUGCCCACUGAUUAUUUAAAUGGCCGCAGUAUUUUAACUGUGCAAAGGUAGCAUAAUCAUUAGUCUUUUAAUUGAAGGCUGGAAUGAAUGGUUGGACGAAAUAUUAACUGUUUCAUUAAAAUUUAUAUUAGAAUUUUAUUUUUUAGUUAAAAAGCUAAAAUAUUAUUAAAAGACGAGAAGACCCUAUAAAUCUUUAUAUUUAAAUUAUUUUUAUUAUUUAGAUUUUUUUUAUAAUUAUAUUUUUAAUUAUUUUAUUGGGGUGAUAUUAAAAUUUAAUAAACUUUUAGUUGUUUUUUACAUUGAUUUAUGAAUAUUUGAUCCAUUUUUAAUGAUUAUAAAUUUAAGUUACUUUAGGGAUAACAGCGUAAUUUUUUUGGAGAGUUCAUAUCGAUAAAAAAGAUUGCGACCUCGAUGUUGGAUUAAGAUAUAGUUUUAGGUGUAGUAGUUUAAAAUUUAAGUCUGUUCGACUUUAUAUUCUUACAUGAUCUGAGUUCAGACCGGCGUAAGCCAGGUUGGUUUCUAUCUUUAAUUUUUUAAUAUAUUUUAGUACGAAAGGACCAAAUAUAUAAAUAAUUAUAUUUUUAAUAUGAAUAUUAUUAAUAUGCUAUUUUGGCAGAUUAGUGCAAUAAAUUUAGAAUUUAUUUA